UCUCUUCAGUUUCUGCUUCCUGGUUCCUUGUCCUCUUGGUCCUCACCAACUGCAUCUGCCCUGCUGGGGCAAAUGUUCCAAAGCUUUUUAGCUCCAACGAUAAGUGCCUAGGGGCAUUCCACUCUGCCAGUAAGCUUCGGCUGGAAGGCACUCAACUCUUCUGCUCAAUGGGUCAGCACGCCUAGCUCAACCGUACUUGCAAGCAAAGAAGCCUCACAGCCCUCCAUCUUGGAUUAGUUCUAGUAGAGAGGCCCUAACAAUUAAGCAGACAGUCUCCUGAGCCUCCAGUCUCCUGAUCCUAAUUUACUACAUCCUUUCCCUUCAGGAACAGAGGGCCACUGGGAAACAGAUCCCUAAAAGUGCAGAUGAUGGAGAGUUUUUUUGUGGAGUGAGUGACCGCAUGAGACCUGGACUUUGAGAAGCUGAUGUCAGGUAUUGUUAGAAGUGGUGGAAAUGAAGUGAUAAGACAGAGGAGAUCCCUGUUCUCGUGGAGCUUGCAGUCUAGUCAGGAUAUCUGCUGUGGAAUCUGUUAUGGUGGGCCAGCCAUGAGAGGGUACCUUGUGGCCAUAUUCCUGAGUGCUGUCUUCCUCUACUAUGUGCUGCACUGUAUCUUAUGGGGAACAAAUGUCUAUUGGGUACCACCUGUGGAAAUGAAACGGAGGAAUAAGAUCCAGCCUUGUUUAUCAAAGCCAGCUUUUGCCUCUCUCUUGAGGUAUCAUCAGUUUCAUCCUUUUCUGUGUGCAUCGGACUUUAAAAAGAUUGCUUCCUUGUAUGGUAGCGAUAAGUUUGAUUUGCCCUAUGGGAUAAAAACAUCAGGGGAAUAUUUUCGAGUUGCUCUUUCAAAACUGCAGAGUUGUGAUCUCUUUGAUGAGUUUGACAAAGCAGAUAACUCUGGAGAACUGGGGACUGGUAGUCUUUCGCAGAAGAGUCUGAUGGAGCUGAGCUGGAUCAUUGCUAACGAGAAUGGGGGAAAUGAUGGAAGAGAUGAACCGGAUAGACACAUGUCAAGCGUGCCAUGUAAAAGAUGUGUGGUGGUUGGUAAUGGAGGCAUUUUAAAGAAUAAGACGUUAGGGGAAAAAAUCGACUCCUAUGAUGUAAUAAUAAGAAUGAAUAAUGGUCCUGUUUUAGGACACGAAGAGGAAGUUGGGAGAAGGACAACCCUCCGACUUUUUUAUCCAGAAUCCGUUUUUUCAGAUCCCAUUCACAAUGACCCUAAUACUACGGCGAUUCUCACCACUUUUAAGCCACUUGAUUUAAAAUGGCUGUGGGAAUUGUUGGCAGGUGGCAAAAUAAACAGUCACGGUUUUUGGAAGAAACCAGCCUCAAACCUGAUCUAUAAACCGUAUCAAAUCAGGAUAUUAGAUCCUUUCAUUACCAGAACAGCAGCUUAUGAACUGCUUCAUUUCCCUAAAGUGUUCCCCAAAAAUCAGAAACCCAAACAUCCGACGACAGGAAUUAUUGCCAUCACACUGGCAUUUCAUAUAUGUCAUGAAGUUCACAUAGCUGGUUUUAAAUACAAUUUUUCUGACCUCAGGAGUCCUUUGCACUAUUAUGGGAAUGCCACCAUGUCUUUGAUGAAUAAGAAUGCAUAUCACAAUGUGACCGCAGAGCAGCUCUUUUUGAAGGACAUUAUAGAAAAGAAUUAUGUAAUCAAUUUGACUCAAGAAUGACCCUGAAGACUUACGAGAUGAUGCUAACAGUAUUGGUUUUAUUUUUAUACUCCAAUUGUUAGUUUAUUUUUAAAUACGCUGGACACACUCGUCAAAGAGUAUGUAUAUUGUUUGUUGCUACCUGGUGAUUCAUAACCAGCAGUUUAAUGUCUGUGAAUAUAUUUAAUUUAUGAAAACCAAGAAAAGUUUAGUUAUCAGGGAAAUAAUUAAACUUUUGACUGCAUCAUUUUUAAAAUAAGCUAGUUUUCUGAGGUAUUUUUAAAUGUCUUUUUCUAACUAUUUUAUGUCAGGCUUUUGAAGGGAUGUAACUUCCAUCAUAGUAAGUAUGGGGAUUGGGUUUAUUGCAACCAAGUCUUAGGAGAACCUGCCAUUUUGAGAUACACAUUUGGCGACCAUAAACCCGUCUCCUGGGGAACCGGCACGUGGUUGUGCCUUGAUCAACAAACUGGAACCGCUUCAGGCUUGUGUUUAGAAAAAUGUUUAAUUCUUAUUUGUUCUACCUGAAGAACCUGAUUUGAAUCUUAAAUCAGCCCUGAUUACAUUAGGAAUAUAAAACUAUGGAAAUCUCAGUUCAUACUGGUUUAAUUAAGGCUCUUUUCUGUAAUUAAUUAAACCAAAAGGGUAUAAUGAGCAAUCUGGUAGAAUGAAGAUAGCUUUUUUAAAAUUUGAGUUACAGGACAUAGGGUAAAUGUGAAAUUAUCAGUAAACAACCAAAUAUUCAAUUACUAAACUCCGGUUGGCUCUGCAUUAUUUUAAAGAAAUAAAAGUUUAACUUUAUACAAGUAAGUGGAACUAAGCUAGCUAAGCUCAAGAAGAAGAGAACCCUUAUGCGUUAUUUUUUUGUCUGGCUUAAUUUAUUCAUUAAAUUUUGGAAGCUGAAUACCUGAAGUAAAUUAGGAGAGACGAGGAAGACAGCCGAGUAAGUAACCCUUCAGUAGAGUCAGGCUCUGUUUUGGAUUUUAAAUGGUACUUUUUCAUGAAACAAGUUUCAAUUUUUCUUAUGAUUAAAUCUAAUCUUCAAAUGGAAAGCUUAGUUGGCUGCCUUCCUUUAGAGUAGAAGUCGUCUUGGGAUCUACCAGAAAGGAACUCUAUGUUCCAAACAAGCCAGUUCUACAGAUGUGGUGAGCUAGUCUCCCUUCCCAAAUAUUAAGAAAUAAAAACAAAGGAUAUCUGGAAAGAGAUGUGGGAUAAAAGACGAAGGAAGAGAAGUGUAGGGUUAUAAAAAGGAUGGCACCCAAAGCUAUCAGCAGCGGUAGGAGUCAAAGAAUUAAUAUAUUUCGAAUAAUAAGUAUUAUUGGGAGACAUGGACGAUGGUCCUGACAACCAACCUGCCUCCCUAAAGACAGCGUGUGAAAGGAGAAGCGUUAGGUCAGGGUCAGAAACAGGAAUAGGUGAAAUACUGGAAAGCGGUGUAAGGGCUAUUUAACCUGGCCUACACUCAUUCAGGGACGAUGUUCUGUUAAUACCAGCAUACCUUUGCACUGCACUGUGGUUUCAUUCGACUGUUUGAUUACCCUGAGGUAAAAAGUUUGGUAGUGGACUAGAAUCCACAUGGGUUCAGUGUGAUUGGUGGUUCCUUCACACCCUCAGGGCCACAGGCUGCAGCUGGGCUGCUGAAGUCCCGUUUGACCUAAAGCAAAUCGGGCUUCAGAAAGGAUAAUGCUGACCACAGGAAAACGGAACGUCCAAGUCAAAAUCCUUCAGGGACAUUUUCAAGUGUUGCUGUAAGCAACUGUAACGUUGGUCAUAAAACUUCUGACUGACGUUAAAAUUGAGGAGGCUGGCAUUUAUAUAGUAUGAGAAAAGGCUACAAACCUCAAGGUUGUUUUAUUUAAGCCAAAUAAUCUGAGCAAGACACUUAUAUACAAUUAAACACAUGAAACACAUUAAAACUCUAUUUAUACAAUCUAAAUUCUAGCAACAUAUACAAAUACUGAGUAACUACAGUACAUGCCGAGGUAAGAAAAGUACAUUCUGGGAGAAUAUCACUGACACACAAGCCAUUUUAUUUCCAAUAUGUGUUUCAAUAAACGUUUUUUUCUGCCAUUCUCAGUGCCAAAAAAAAAUAAAGAGGAAGAAGAGGGAAAUACUAGUUAUAAGUUGGACUAAAUGAAAAUUGGUGCCAGAGUGGACAUAAAAAGCAUUUUAAUAACCAUCAAACCCUUAUUUAUAUUUUGCAGUUUAGGGACUUCAAGUUCAGAACUGAAAGGCAGCGCUAAUAAGAGAUGCCUGCAUUCACACAUGUGCUUUACCUAUUCACGAGUGCUUUAAUAGAACGUUCACCAUCUGUGCUUUUUGUUUCAAGCGUUUUGAAACAAAACAUGGAUUGGCUCUCCCCUGAAUAAAACUGUGCCUCAAAGUCUGUCUGAAAAGGAAAAGCAAAUGAAAAGAAAAACAACUCAAGCUUACCACAGGAGGGCAAGGAGGCCAUGGAAAUAAUUCUACUUGGGAAGCAGUGUUUUGGAAUACAGAUAGACUUGAGCAAUCAAGCAAAAUAAAUACUGGUCAUCUUUAUUCAAAUUCAGUAAAUUUCUGACAGUAUCAUAAUCUGGUGGCACAAGCCAGCAGAAGUGACGACAAUGUGAUGGGAAAGCUGACAAACUAAGGUGGUAUGGAAGAGGGGUUGUCAAAUUUAUAUGUGUCUAUCAUGAUCAACUUCGCAGGUCAUCUUGCCAGUCUCAAGGCUUUUAGAGAUGUUUUUACACUAUGUUGUUGUUGGGUGCAGUCAAGUUGAUUUUCGACUCACAGCGACUCUGUGUGACAGAGUAGAACUGCCACAUAGGGUUUUCUAGGCUGUAGUCUUUAUGGAAGCAGAUCACCAUGGCUUUCUCCCGCAGAGCCUCUGGGUGGGUUCAAACCGUCAACCUUUCGGACAGCAGCUGAGUACUUAACCAUUGCACCACCACUGUAGAGUAAUAAAUUACAGAUGAUUUCUAUUUCACCCAAUCUAAAUCUAAUUCAGGGGCCAGUCAUGAACUGUGACAAAGCAGCCGCUAGGAGGUAUCAAACACAAGUCACGACUACUAAAACAGGGUCCUUUUGCCCGGACGCUGUAAUCUGUUCCCUUAAAGCAUGACGUGACAGACUCCUCGUGCCUCUCGCCACACAGACGUAGGGCAGAAUCAGGCAGAACUGAAGAAUACAUGUUUAAUUUAUAUUCCUUGCAAUAGUUUCUGUAGAAAACGGCAAUUAAAAAUUAUUUUAUUCAACUAAAAGUUAAAAAACACUCUGAGAUUCAAAGAAAACUUUAUAUAUAAAACCAAAGACAGCCAACUCUGGCUGUUAUUUUUUCUAUUAUUUCUGAAUGAUCUUGGCUUUCAUUGUGAUAAACAUGAAUGGGUCAUAGUCACAAGCAGUCACUUAAUUCACUUUUCACAACUCGUCUAGGAAAAAUCCCAUUGCAAAUAAAUUUGGGGUGGGGUGGGGGGAAAAUCCCCUUUAUGGUGUUUCUAAAUUAAAUUUGUUCAUGUUUUCACAUAGAGAAGUAUGCUUUAAGAUAUUACUCAAGACCACUGCCAUCGAGUUGACUCCAACUCAUAGCGACCCUGUAAGACAGAGUAGGACUGCCUCACAGGAAGCAGAUGGCCAGGUCUUCCUCCCACAAAGCCACUGGGUGGGUUCGAACCACCAACCUUUAUUAAACCACCAAAAAACCAAACCUGUUGCCGUAGAGUCUAUUCUGACUCAUAGCGGCCCUAAAAGACAGAGCAGAACUGCCCCAUAAGGUUUCCAAGGAGCGCCUGGUGGAUUCAAAUUGCCGGCCUUUUGGUUAGCAGCUGUAGCUCUUAACCACUGCACCACCAGGGUUAGAGGAUCUGAAUUCAUGAGACUGAGCAAGUUGAUAAAAUCAAGCAUCAAUUUCAAAACAAGUAUUUUAUAAACACAUGAAUGGUUCUUGCCACCGAGUGCCCCAGGCAGAAUGAGCAGGGAUGAAACCAGAUCAUGUACCAUGAAGUGUUAAAGCUCUUAAGAGUGUCAAGAAGUGAAAAAUCAAUCACCCUGCUCAUUAUAAGCCAGAAGCUCCCAGCUUGUUAAUGAAAAAUGGAGAAUUCUAUAUGAUUGCCGAGAAAACAAUGAUAUCACAAAUUCUAGUUCUUUAAAAAAAUAAAUCCAGAAAGCAAUCUAGGAAUAGAAAAGGAGAAAAUCAUGAUAGUACCCACCUUUCACAAAGAGCAGAAUUUCAAGCCUUUAGAUAGUUCAAGAACAGUACCAUGCAUUACCACCAGACAGGCUUAGCGCCAUCUCUGGAGUUCACAACGUACCUGCAGCACUGGUAAUAAAUACUUUCUCUCAGUGAUUCUUAAUUUCUUUGAAGUGCAUUACAGAGAGCUUUUUCUGUAUUAAAAAUAAUGUUUUACAGUAGUAACAAACAUGAUGUUUGGAAUUUAACAGGCAAGCAGUAACUGUGCCACAGAUAUACCUUCAAAGCAAGAUGGCAAGGUUAGUAGUUUCCUGUACCUCGGUUAUCACAUUUUCCUUAACCCCUUCAGUGACAGAUAACGUGAUACAUUCUAUAUAUUACUACCACUAAUACAAAAAAGGCCAUGUGCUUUAAAACGAUGCUUUGUAAAAAGCAGCAUCACCUUCAAAGGAUUUCUUUAAAAACAUCACAUUCACCCUCCCUCCCUGCUCCUGAUACUUCCUGCGUGCUCUGUGGCACCUGGUACACCAACUCAUCUGGGGCACUUGGACCUGGCUUCCCACCUUUUGGGGUGUCAUACUGGGCCCUGGCAGAGGAGCAGCUGUCCGUCCUGGAGAGAAGGGCGUUGUAAGUUCCCACUAAAGGAGGAGGCUGGUUCCCUGUAGCUUUGAAAGUGGACGUUGAAGGCAGACCAACUGAGGCUGCAGGGUGCCCGGACAUAUCCAUGACAAUUGGGGUUGCAUACUCGGGCCCAGUAAUGGGGAGAGGUUCAGCGUAGGCAUGGUAAACCUCUUGCACUGGUGAGUUGUAAGGAUCCAGGUCAGCAUAGCCUGCUUCCUUCCCUUCUUCUGGUUUAAAGGUAGAUCUCUGAUGAAGUGUGCCAACUAUUCCUCCCACAAGCGGUUGUGCAUACUCUGCAGAUAUCACAAAACACGAGAGAAGGUUAUCUUACUAACACACAGAUCACACAACUAAGGUGGUAGCUGCGGGCUUACACCAAAAGCAAACACUUCUUUACAGCACUGUUCUUGCUAUCAACACAGACGCUAUGGAUUUCCUAACUGCAAGAACCAACUUCAGAAAUUAAAAUUAUGUCAUCUAGUAUAUGCCAGGAGCUCUGGUGGCACGGUGGCUAAGAGCUCGGCUGCUUACCAACAGGUCAGCAGUUCAAAUCCACGGGGCACUCUUUGGAAACCCUAUGAGGCAGUUCUACUCUGCCCUACAGGGUCACUCUGAGUCGGAAUCGACUUGACAGCAACGGACAGUAUAUGCUAGAAAGCCUCAGUUGUGUAACUUUGCAUAAAGACCUUGUAUAUGUUCUUCAGGUUUACAGACAGGUUUUCAUUAGAAGAGAAAUAUUCUAUUAUUGGAAUAAUCUUAGUCUUGGAAAAAUCAGUUUUUUUUUUUUUUUUUCAAAUAUUAGGAAAUGUUUAAAAUAAGUAAGUCCUAGGCUAAUAAGGUAAAUAGUAAGGAACAGCCACUGUAUGUCUCUCCUGUUCUCUUCCUAACUUCCUCAAAUAAAACUAAAACAGAAAAACACAGGUGAACAUCAAAACGCUUGGAGUUUUCACAAACGAAUGCUCCAACUUUGUGGACAGAACAUCCAAGAUGCAGAAAUGACUCACUCAAGUUAUCUUUUUAAAAAGUGCUUCCACUUUUAGAAAUUAGCUCAUCUCUUAAACAUGAAAAGGAAAAAGUAAACUCCAACACACUUCACAGCAGGCACAGCCUCCCCGGCCCGUGCCCGAGGUAGUGACGGCUCACCUGCGGCGUCGGUCUGCAGCACCGUGGUGACUUCUCUCGGGCUCAAGUGAUUAACUUCGCUACUGCUGUAGUGAACUGGGGUUUCCUCGUGUUCCACUGAUUUGGCAGGGAGAAACUGCUUCAUUCCUUUCCACCAUCCUUUAUGGGGGUUGCAAGAACAAAAAGGCCAGGAACUAAAAACCUAUGUCUCAUCAAGGGAGAGAACCUGUUGCAUUUAAGCCACUUCUCUAACGAACAAAUAUCUGGGACAAAGUAGCCUUCACGUUCAAGUUUAUUUUCUGCUUUGAUGGAAGAGUAUCUAGUGCAAAGCAGAACAUGGUAGAAAUCUCUAUCAAAAGGAUAGGGAGAAGACAAUCCUGCUAUUAAGCUGCAGCCAGAUACACUUGUCUGUGUAGGGGUAGUUUCUAAUAAGUUUUCCUCAAAACAUACUGAGUUUCACACUGGGGGACUAGCAGCCCCCAUGACCAAGACCACUGCCCAUGUCUACCCUGGCCCCAGCAGAGAAGUCUCUUUGCUCCCGACCAGAGUUCCAGAAAUGAGGCUGGGAAGUGGGAGGCCUGUGCUGGCUCUGCUGCAUUUGUAGCAACUACCACCUGCCAGGGAGUAGGAAUUCAGAAGAUGCCAACCAGCCACGGAGAGAUGGCAGCCCUCACGGAUUCCAAACCUGCUGCCCUCCACCUGGUAAAGAACCACAGCAAAGGGGCCACAAUCGUUGUUUCUCACGCAGUGUUCACCUACAUCAGAACGCUGGUCUCCUUCGGAGAACCAGAUACACAGGAGAAAACCAGACACAUUUCCCAAAAGUAAAAAGAACAGAAUGUGUGCAGUCAGAAAUAAAUUACUCUCCACUGCGUCACUUAUUAACUAGGAGAGAUUUUGCAGAAGGGUGAAAAUGGUCAGAACAGAGGAGGAACGCCACUUUUCCAAAGGUGUUGGGAGUUCGAAUGGGCCUAAGAAUGACUUUCUUUCACUACUGCCACCUGGAGGGCAGGGUGACGCUUCCCUCUGAUGCAAAAAACAUAGAAGUUACCUGCCCGGUCCCAGUAAGAUAAUAUCCACGAGGAUGGAAAGAUCAACGGCUGACAUUCACUGGGGCUAAAUGCCAGAUGCUGCACGAUGGGCCUGAUCUGCCGCAUCUUAUUUACCUGCCUGACGAUUUUAUCGGAAAGACAGGAUGACACUAUAGCAGAGUAGAGGACAAUCAAUAACAUCAGCCUUCUGAGAAGUUCAAUGGGUCAGGAACCAAGCCUCAGAGGAAUCCAGCUCUGGAAGAAAAGACUUUAAGAAAAUUUUUCAGUCCUGAGAUUCUAAGAUUCUACAGUCCAAUUUUAAGAUGAACAAUACUUGUAAACGACUGUUCUUCCAUCCAGGGAUGUGGUCUGAGAUUCCGCCCAAACACAUGCCUUCUGGAACCUGCAAACAUAUUUACCCACAGGCAAUAUUCAUCAGUCAAACGGAGACACACUGUCCCCUCCCGGGAACACACUCCUGCAGGUAAGCAGAUGACUCAACUCGCUCCCUCACCUCGGUCACAGUUUUGUUCCCAGGCACACUUGCCAUGAGGCCCUCCCUGACUAUUUAAAAUGUCAGAGCAGGGUCUCCUGCAUUCCCUGCAGUUUUUUCCUACGUCUUUUUUUUUUUUUUUAUCCUACCGACCCGACCAUGAAGAGCACACUGUAAACAAUUACUGACUUAUUCAUUUGGCUCUUGUCAACCUCUCACCACCAGGACACAAGCUCCAGGAGGGCACUAUGGAAUUUCUAGCACCAGCAUGGUGCCUGGCAAAUACAAGGCACUCAAUGAAUACUUUCUAUUGAAUGCAUUAAUUACUUCUGACAAAUUGCUAAGGAACCUUCCUCCUUCCUUACAUGAUCAUUGUUCGAUUACUAUAAAAACCUUCAAUUUAUUCUAUUCAUUACAUGAUUAAGGACUUCCCUUACCUCACAGUGCUGUUGUGGUGGCUAAGUGAGUAAGUACAAAGAAAAAAAAAAAAAAGCAACUGGCAUAGUGCCUGG
Molecule: RNA transcript, 9590 nt
Organism: Loxodonta africana (African savanna elephant)
Lineage: Eukaryota; Metazoa; Chordata; Mammalia; Proboscidea; Elephantidae
Gene: ST3GAL6
Gene name: ST3 beta-galactoside alpha-2,3-sialyltransferase 6
Exons: 18
Source: RefSeq, a predicted model, not a curated record